Scylla paramamosain (green mud crab) is the source of this 479-nucleotide long non-coding RNA. RefSeq lists it as uncharacterized. The record is from RefSeq and is a predicted model, not a curated record. The transcript has 3 exons. Lineage: Eukaryota; Metazoa; Arthropoda; Malacostraca; Decapoda; Portunidae.
GCAGGGCGGCAGUUGAUACGAAAAGGCUGUGUGUGUGCAUCACAGGUGGAUAGAAGAGCUUUGGGAUUACUAGCACCGCGUCAGUACGUCCUCUAAGUGACUGUUUCCUUAUCCGCCGCCGCUGGUCUGUGCUGCGGAGAAGGAGCGGGUAUGCGUGCCGCGUCUCACAUGCGCCACGGUGCUUGAACACCCCACCCGGUCACUCACCUACCGAGCACCGCCACCCUCUGAGCUGCACACUUCAAAGCAAUUAAGGGGAGUGGCACACGUGGCGCCACUAAUCACUGCUUGCCUGCCGCUCACCGCACACCGCACACCGCCUCAGUGAUGGAAUUCAAGGAUGGCGCUCCGGAGGGUGAGGUCCCGCCAAACCACUGCCCCGUGUGCCUGGAGGCCUGGGACACACAGGACCGUCUACCAAAGUUUCUCACCUGCCACCAUAGCGUGUGUAUCACCUGCGCGGGGCGUCUGCAGCGGCC